GACCAUAAGUGAUCUAGUUGAAAGUGGUUACUGGCCAGCAACUGUCAAUUUUGAGACCUUGUACUUGGUGGACUUGUUCACCACGUAUGAGGAUCUAAAAAUCACUGCCCCAGGGAUGUCGAGACAAGCUUUUGUCAGCAUGCUCGAGUGUCGUACCAAACUCUUCGGGCGAAGUGGUAAGAUUUGUGGGGACACAAUGCAGAGGGCCUUCCUCGAAUGGGCCUAUGCCAAAUUUGAGGUUGACGAGCUGUCUCAGGUCCAGCAUUUUCAGUGCCCUGCAUGCACACCCUCCAUAUUGGCAGUUGCAGUGGAUGGGAACCGCAAAUUAUAUCGUUUAAAAGCCAACCAGGGUACCUGAUGGGUUUUUUGAUGGAGUCUUUUUGGCCAAUGAUGCUGAGGUGUCCUCCUUUGUUGAUUACAUCCAUGGAACAACUGGACAUAAUCCAGGGAAAGGGAGAUGUGGUGCUGGUCAGUGGACCGCAGCACGAGAGUCUGCCAACAAGUCUGGAAGCAAACUAGACGAGGAAGGUGUUGAAGUUGCUGUCUGCCGUCAUGGGGUUUUGCUGAAGGGACUGAAUAUGUUCCGUGGAGAAAUAUUUGCAUACCCAUUAUAUCUCCAGAAACAGCUAGCUUCACAGACCGUCCAGUUUUUUUGCUCUGAUGUGGUCUGCAAAUAUUGGCCAUAUCUGCAGAAAGUUGUGGACCACUGUCCAGAGUUGGAGGACUUGCUGAACAUGCGCCCAUUUCUCUCCAUCAUGCAUGCAAAAGCGCAUUCAUGGAUGUGUGAAUUAAAAUGGGGGGGACGCAAUCAAGAAGGAGCUGGAACAACAAUCGGGGAGGAGGUUGAACAGGUUAACAGCUUCCUCUCUCGAGCAGCCAUAUGUUCCAAGUACAUGUCAAAAGCCGUUCGCACAGACAUGCUAACAAUCCAGGCAAGUGGCUGGAACAAGCGAAAGGCAGAAAACCUUGACCGGACACUGGCCAAAAGAUACAUCAAGACUGUACAAAGGAUUGCAGAGGCAACAAAGGACCUGGAGAAACUCACAGCUGAGUUAUCUCUAUAGCAAGACACAGUCCAGCAGUGGGUGUCUGAUGUUCAGCAGUGGACCUCAGGAGCAACAAUCCAAAAUGACCUGCAGAGGACCAUCGAGGAGCUAUAUCUGGGCAUCAAACAGCGAAAAGUUCAGCUGUAUCGUCAGUCUGGUGGGAACAAGCGAAGGCAUCAACUGAGAAGAAAGAUUGCUGUUGAGAAGAAAGCCUUGGAAGUUGCCAUCAAUGACCACAAUGCUACUGUGGGGGAAGUUGAAAAACUGCCUCCUCCCAAUGAACUCCUGGCUGUGGAUAACUACUCCUGGCCAUGGGAAUGUCAUGGUGAUAUGGAGCGGAAAAAAAAUGUUUUUGACAAGGUAAUGCUGCUGGCUAGACUGAAAGAAGAAGAAUUUAUUGUGGUUCGCGAAGUCAAGCAGCUCAUGGAGUACAUGAGGAGUGUUGCUGGACUGAUUGAAGAGUUUACCU
Molecule: long non-coding RNA, 1515 nt
Organism: Carassius carassius (crucian carp)
Lineage: Eukaryota; Metazoa; Chordata; Actinopteri; Cypriniformes; Cyprinidae
Exons: 10
Source: RefSeq, a predicted model, not a curated record